RNAcentral lists this ribosomal RNA (468 nucleotides) under uncultured bacterium. RNAcentral's name for it is "partial 16S ribosomal RNA". It matches the Rfam family "Bacterial small subunit ribosomal RNA", at positions 28 to 507 of the family's 1533-position model. The record is from RNAcentral.
GACGAACGCUGGCGGCGUGCUUAACACAUGCAAGUUGAACGGAAAGGCCCUGCUUUUGUGGGGUGCUCGAGUGGCGAACGGGUGAGUAACACGUGAGUAACCUGCCCUUGACUUUGGGAUAACUUCAGGAAACUGGGGCUAAUACCGGAUAGGAGCUCCUGCUGCAUGGUGGGGGUUGGAAAGUUUCGGCGGUUGGGGAUGGACUCGCGGCUUAUCAGCUUGUUGGUGGGGUAGUGGCUUACCAAGGCUUUGACGGGUAGCCGGCCUGAGAGGGUGACCGGCCACAUUGGGACUGAGAUACGGCUCAGACUCCUACGGGAGGCAGCAGUGGGGAAUAUUGCACAAUGGGCGGAAGCCUGAUGCAGCAACGCCGCGUGCGGGAUGACGGCCUUCGGGUUGUAAACCGCUUUCGCCUGUGACGAAGCGUGAGUGACGGUAAUGGGUAAAGAAGCACCGGCUAACUACGUG